Long non-coding RNA from Carassius gibelio (silver crucian carp), 856 nucleotides. RefSeq lists it as uncharacterized. The record is from RefSeq and is a predicted model, not a curated record. The transcript has 4 exons. Lineage: Eukaryota; Metazoa; Chordata; Actinopteri; Cypriniformes; Cyprinidae.
CACACCCUUGGUUCUGCUGGGUAACAACCAGCUGUGCUCAUGCUGGAUUUAACGGGUUCCCUGUGUGUGGCCCAAUUAUCAUAUUUCCAUGAUGUUUAAUGGGGUCAGUCAUUUGCCUGAGGGUGUGAGGAAAAUCAUAUUAGGGCAUGAAGAUGCUGCAGUCACAGUGUCCUCUACUGCGUUGUGAAAUAUGAUACAACAGUUUGAACAUAUGCAUUUAUUCGUAUAUGCUACAUGUCCUCUACUUUUGGAAUUCGUACCAUGUGUUAUGUGGCUAUUGUAGGUUUGGUGUUUAGAAGAGGAAAACGAAUCUCUGGAGGCUGGAGUCAGAGCAGAUCUCCACCAGCACCAUCAGCAUCAGCUGUCCUGUGGACUACAGUCUGGAGUCUGUGUUAGAAAGACUGCGGAAAGAGAAAGAACCACUCAGAAACUCUGGCCUGGGUGGUGCUGCACAUUUAUGCCUCACUUGAUAAAAUGAGGAGAUUUUAUGCAACACAGAGGAGCUAAAGGGUGAACUGCGGCGUCUGCAGAUGAAAUACGAUCGAUCAGGUGGUUGAGCACAAGAGACUCAUCCAGCAAGAACCAGAAGAUGAUUCUGUGGAGUUGGAAGCAUUUACCCCUGACUGCCUGGCCCUGCAAGAGCAAGUGGCCAUAUAUAAAGAGCAGCUGGCUGCCAUGAAACGAGGAUGGAGAAAUUAUGUGAGCCCAGGACUCCGGAUGGAGGUUCUCCUACUGUAUCCCUGCAGUUCUCCUCCUUUGAUAUCACUCCAUUCAUCAUGAACAUCAAAGAGUACUACAGCAAACUGGUGAUUUACACACAGAUAGAGACAUCGACUCUGACACCUCAAUGACUGUU